UACAGAGGUCUCAACCGUUGUUCGGAUUCAUUGGGCGUAAAGGGUGCGUAGGCGGCGGGGUAAGUCAGGUGUGAAAUCUCGGGGCUCAACCCCGAAACUGCACUUGAUACUGCCUCGCUUGAGUACUGGAGAGGAGACUGGAAUUUACGGUGUAGCAGUGAAAUGCGUAGAUAUCGUAAGGAAGGCCGGUGGCGAAAGCGAGCCUCUGGACAGUUACUGACGCUGAUGCACGAAGGCCAGGGGAGCAAACGGG
RNAcentral lists this ribosomal RNA (253 nucleotides) under uncultured bacterium. RNAcentral's name for it is "partial 16S ribosomal RNA". It matches the Rfam family "Bacterial small subunit ribosomal RNA", at positions 524 to 776 of the family's 1533-position model. The record is from RNAcentral.